AGAGUUUGAUCAUGGCUCAGAUUGAACGCUGGCGGCAGGCCUAACACAUGCAAGUCGAACGGUAACAGGAAGCAGCUUGCUGCUUCGCUGACGAGUGGCGGACGGGUGAGUAAUGUCUGGGAAACUGCCUGAUGGAGGGGGAUAACUACUGGAAACGGUGGCUAAUACCGCAUAACGUCGCAAGACCAAAGAGGGGGACCUUCGGGCCUCUUGCCAUCAGAUGUGCCCAGAUGGGAUUAGCUUGUUGGUGAGGUAACGGCUCACCAAGGCGACGAUCCCUAGCUGGUCUGAGAGGAUGACCAGCCACACUGGAACUGAGACACGGUCCAGACUCCUACGGGAGGCAGCAGUGGGGAAUAUUGCACAAUGGGCGCAAGCCUGAUGCAGCCAUGCCGCGUGUAUGAAGAAGGCCUUCGGGUUGUAAAGUACUUUCAGCGGGGAGGAAGGUGUUGCGGUUAAUAACCGCAGCAAUUGACGUUACCCGCAGAAGAAGCACCGGCUAACUCCGUGCCAGCAGCCGCGGUAAUACGGAGGGUGCAAGCGUUAAUCGGAAUUACUGGGCGUAAAGCGCACGCAGGCGGUCUGUCAAGUCGGAUGUGAAAUCCCCGGGCUCAACCUGGGAACUGCAUUCGAAACUGGCAGGCUUGAGUCUUGUAGAGGGGGGUAGAAUUCCAGGUGUAGCGGUGAAAUGCGUAGAGAUCUGGAGGAAUACCGGUGGCGAAGGCGGCCCCCUGGACAAAGACUGACGCUCAGGUGCGAAAGCGUGGGGAGCAAACAGGAUUAGAUACCCUGGUAGUCCACGCCGUAAACGAUGUCUACUUGGAGGUUGUGCCCUUGAGGUGUGGCUUCCGGAGCUAACGCGUUAAGUAGACCGCCUGGGGAGUACGGCCGCAAGGUUAAAACUCAAAUGAAUUGACGGGGGCCCGCACAAGCGGUGGAGCAUGUGGUUUAAUUCGAUGCAACGCGAAGAACCUUACCUGGUCUUGACAUCCACAGAAGAAUCCAGAGAUGGAUUUGUGCCUUCGGGAACUGUGAGACAGGUGCUGCAUGGCUGUCGUCAGCUCGUGUUGUGAAAUGUUGGGUUAAGUCCCGCAACGAGCGCAACCCUUAUCCUUUGUUGCCAGCGGUCCGGCCGGGAACUCAAAGGAGACUGCCAGUGAUAAACUGGAGGAAGGUGGGGAUGACGUCAAGUCAUCAUGGCCCUUACGACCAGGGCUACACACGUGCUACAAUGGCGCAUACAAAGAGAAGCGACCUCGCGAGAGCAAGCGGACCUCAUAAAGUGCGUCGUAGUCCGGAUUGGAGUCUGCAACUCGACUCCAUGAAGUCGGAAUCGCUAGUAAUCGUGGAUCAGAAUGCCACGGUGAAUACGUUCCCGGGCCUUGUACACACCGCCCGUCACACCAUGGGAGUGGGUUGCAAAAGAAGUAGGUAGCUUAACCUUCGGGAGGGCGCUUACCACUUUGUGAUUCAUGACUGGGGUGAAGUCGUAACAAGGUAACCGUAGGGGAACCUGCGGUUGGAUCACCUCCUU
Molecule: ribosomal RNA, 1534 nt
Filed under: Salmonella enterica subsp. enterica serovar Virchow str. SL491
Lineage: Bacteria; Pseudomonadati; Pseudomonadota; Gammaproteobacteria; Enterobacterales; Enterobacteriaceae
Description: 16S ribosomal RNA
Rfam family: Bacterial small subunit ribosomal RNA
Source: RNAcentral